This 254-nucleotide ribosomal RNA is filed under the name uncultured bacterium. RNAcentral describes it as "partial 16S ribosomal RNA". It matches the Rfam family "Bacterial small subunit ribosomal RNA", at positions 524 to 776 of the family's 1533-position model. The record is from RNAcentral.
UACGUAGGGGGCGAGCGUUGUCCGAAGUUACUGGGCGUAAAGCGCGCGUAGGCGGUUUCUUAAGUCUGGUGUGAAAGGUUCAGGGCUCAACCCGAACAGUGCACUGGAUACUGGGAGACUUGAGUAUGGGAGAGGAGAACGGAAUUCCUGGUGUAGCGGUGAAAUGCGCAGAUAUCAGGAGGAACACCGGUGGCGAAGGCGGUUCUCUGGGCAUGUCCUGACGCUGAGGAGCGAAAGUGUGGGGAGCGAACAGG